CCUACGGGGGGCAGCAGUGAGGAAUAUUGGUCAAUGGCCGUAAGGCUGAACCAGCCAAGUCGCGUGAGGGAAGACGGAUCUAUGGUUUGUAAACUUCUUUUAUAGGGGAAUAAAGGUCUCCACGCGUGGCUAUUCGCGUGUACCCUAUGAAUAAGCAUCGGCUAACUCCGUGCCAGCAGCCGCGGUAAUACGGAGGAUGCGAGCGUUAUCCGGAUUUAUUGGGUUUAAAGGGUGCGUAGGUUGUUAUUUAAGUCAGCGGUGAAAUUUUAGGGCUCAACCAUAAUAUUGCCGUUGAAACUGGUAGACUUGAGUGUGUUUGAGGUAGGCGGAAUGCGUGGUGUAGCGGUGAAAUGCAUAGAUAUCACGCAGAACUCCGAUUGCGAAGGCAGCAUACUAAGCCAUAACUGACGCUGAAGCACGAAAGCGUGGGUAUCAAACAGGAUUAGAUACCCGAGUAGUC
Molecule: ribosomal RNA, 460 nt
Filed under: uncultured bacterium
Lineage: Bacteria
Description: partial 16S ribosomal RNA
Rfam family: Bacterial small subunit ribosomal RNA
Source: RNAcentral